RNAcentral lists this ribosomal RNA (436 nucleotides) under uncultured bacterium. RNAcentral describes it as "partial 16S ribosomal RNA". It matches the Rfam family "Bacterial small subunit ribosomal RNA", at positions 29 to 507 of the family's 1533-position model. The record is from RNAcentral.
AACGAACGCUGGCGGCAUGCCUAACACAUGCAAGUCGAACGAGAUCCUUCGGGGUCUAGUGGCGCACGGGUGCGUAACGCGUGGGAAUCUGCCCUUAGGUUCGGAAUAACAGUUAGAAAUGACUGCUAAUACCGGAUGAUGACGUUAAGUCCAAAGAUUUAUCGCCUGAGGAUGAGCCCGCGUAGGAUUAGCUAGUUGGUGUGGUAAAGGCGCACCAAGGCGACGAUCCUUAGCUGGUCUGAGAGGAUGAUCAGCCACACUGGGACUGAGACACGGCCCAGACUCCUACGGGAGGCAGCAGUGGGGAAUAUUGGACAAUGGGCGCAAGCCUGAUCCAGCAAUGCCGCGUGAGUGAUGAAGGCCUUAGGGUUGUAAAGCUCUUUUACCCGGGAUGAUAAUGACAGUACCGGGAGAAUAAGCCCCGGCUAACUCCGUG